AAGAAUGCGAUAUGCAAUGUGAAUUGCAGAACCACGAAUCAUCGUAUCUUUGAACGCGACUGGCGCUGAUUUAUCAGCAUACUUGUUUCAGUGUGCGCAAACAAAUAAACCAUAUAAAUGUGAGAGAAGAUCUCUUAUUAAAUAUAUGCUCCUUGCAGCAGUCACAUUUAUUUGUGAGCUGUACGUUGUAAACUGCCUUAUUUGCACCUGAAAUCAAGUAAGAAGACCCGCUGAACUUAA
Molecule: unclassified non-coding RNA, 240 nt
Filed under: uncultured fungus
Lineage: Eukaryota; Fungi
Description: sequence contains ITS1
Rfam family: 5.8S ribosomal RNA (bases 1-96)
Source: RNAcentral